Molecule: ribosomal RNA, 253 nt
Filed under: uncultured bacterium
Lineage: Bacteria
Description: partial 16S ribosomal RNA
Rfam family: Bacterial small subunit ribosomal RNA
Source: RNAcentral
UACGUAGGGGGCAAGCGUUGUCCGGAAUUAUUGGGCGUAAAGGGCGCGUAGGCGGCCUGAUAAGUCGGGGGUGAAAGCCUGUGGCUCAACCACAGAAUUGCCUUCGAUACUGUUAGGCUUGAGACCGGAAGAGGUAAGUGGAACUGCGAGUGUAGAGGUGAAAUUCGUAGAUAUUCGCAAGAACACCAGUGGCGAAGGCGGCUUACUGGUCCGGUUCUGACGCUGAGGCGCGAAAGCGUGGGGAGCAAACAGG